RNAcentral lists this ribosomal RNA (867 nucleotides) under Floccularia albolanaripes. RNAcentral's name for it is "partial large subunit ribosomal RNA". It matches the Rfam family "Eukaryotic large subunit ribosomal RNA", at positions 108 to 963 of the family's 3401-position model. The record is from RNAcentral. Lineage: Eukaryota; Fungi; Basidiomycota; Agaricomycetes; Agaricales; Squamanitaceae.
CUCAAAUUUAAAAUCUGGCAGUCUCUGGCUGUCCGAGUUGUAAUCUAGAGAAGUGUUAUCCGCGCUGGACCGUGUACAAGUCUCCUGGAAUGGAGCGUCAUAGAGGGUGAGAAUCCCGUCUUUGACACGGACUACCAGGGCUUUGUGAUAUGCUCUCAAAGAGUCGAGUUGUUUGGGAAUGCAGCUCAAAAUGGGUGGUAAAUUCCAUCUAAAGCUAAAUAUUGGCGAGAGACCGAUAGCGAACAAGUACCGUGAGGGAAAGAUGAAAAGAACUUUGGAAAGAGAGUUAAACAGUACGUGAAAUUGCUGAAAGGGAAACGCUUGAAGUCAGUCGCGUUGUCUGGAAAUCAACCGUGAAUUUCUUGGUGUACUUUCCAGUUAACGGGUCAGCAUCAAUUUUGACUGUUGGAAAAAGGUCAGAGGAAUGUGGCAUCUUCGGAUGUGUUAUAGCCUCUAAUUGUAUACAACAGUUGGGAUUGAGGAACUCAGCACGCCGCAAGGCCGGGUUUUUAACCACGUUCGUGCUUAGGAUGCUGGCAUAAUGGCUUUAAUCGACCCGUCUUGAAACACGGACCAAGGAGUCUAACAUGCCUGCGAGUGUUUGGGUGGAAAACCCGAGCGCGUAAUGAAAGUGAAAGUUGAGAUCCCUGUCGUGGGGUGCAUCGACGCCCGGACUUGACGUUUUCUGACGGUCCCGCGGUAGAGCAUGUAUGUUGGGACCCGAAAGAUGGUGAACUAUGCCUGAAUAGGGUGAAGCCAGAGGAAACUCUGGUGGAGGCUCGUAGCGAUUCUGACGUGCAAAUCGAUCGUCAAAUUUGGGUAUAGGGGCGAAAGACUAAUCGAACCAUCUAGUAGCUGGUUCUGCAG